GAAUAUGUAGCUCAGUUGGUUAGAGCACUAGUCUUAUGAGCUAGGGGUCACGGGUUCGAGUCCCGUCAUAUUCACCA
This 77-nucleotide transfer RNA is filed under the name Nitrospinota bacterium. Its description in RNAcentral is "tRNA-Ile". It matches the Rfam family "tRNA". From Rfam's summary of the family: Transfer RNA (tRNA) molecules are approximately 80 nucleotides in length. Their secondary structure includes four short double-helical elements and three loops (D, anti-codon, and T loops). Lineage: Bacteria; Pseudomonadati; Nitrospinota. The record is from RNAcentral.